UUUAAAUAGCACUCUUCCUGUCUGCUAUAAUCUGGAUUUCUGCCAACUGCUGCAUACGAUAGAUUAAAGGGAAUAUGAAUCAACAACAAAAAAGUUUUUUAAAGGUGUCCAGUCGGGGGCUAUUUGACUCAACCGGAAGCAAGGAUAGGCCACCUUAGAGGGCCCCUGAUACUGACCUGUAAAACCAGUGAGUUCGAUCUUGGUAGCCAUGGCAUGAAUUGGGUCUGACACGUCCACGGACAAGGGCUGGAGUGGCUGGUUUAUUAUUACAUCUAGCAAAAUCUAUGCCCUACUGAUUAAAGAGUGAUUUAUUGCAUCCAAAGACACUGCAAAACACAUCUUCACUUUGAACAUGAAAAGCCUGAAGAUCGAAGACAGCAGCAUCCAUUACUGUGCAAGAGACUGGGGUGGCUCGCCCCAUUACUGGGGACAAGGAACCGUAGUGACGGUGACUGCAGGUAUCUCUGGCCACGUUUUACAACGACAUAUCAACCGAAGAGUCAGCCUUUAGAAAACAACUGACAAUGUGGAUUAUAUGACUACGGCUACAUUCUGAAUUAAUUAAAAUAAUCUACUCGUCAACUCAC
Long non-coding RNA from Rhincodon typus (whale shark), 587 nucleotides. RefSeq lists it as uncharacterized. Lineage: Eukaryota; Metazoa; Chordata; Chondrichthyes; Orectolobiformes; Rhincodontidae. The transcript is spliced from 3 exons. The record is from RefSeq and is a predicted model, not a curated record.